UGUGAACGUUACCAAACUGUUGCCUCGGCGGGAUCUCUGCCCCGGGUGCGUCGCAGCCCCGGACCAAGGCGCCCGCCGGAGGACCAACCAAAACUCUUAUUGUAUACCCCCUCGCGGGUUUUUUUAUAAUCUGAGCCUUCUCGGCGCCUCUCGUAGGCGUUUCGAAAAUGAAUCAAAACUUUCAACAACGGAUCUCUUGGUUCUGGCAUCGAUGAAGAACGCAGCGAAAUGCGAUAAGUAAUGAGAGUGAAUUGCAAAAUUCAUUGAAUCAUCGAAUCUUUGAACGCACAUUGCGCCCGCCAGUAUUCUGGCGGGCAUGCCUGUCCGAGCGUCAUUUCAACCCUCGAACCCCUCCGGGGGGUCGGCGUUGGGGAUCGGCCCUGCCUUGGCGGUGGCCGUCUCCGAAAUACAGUGGCGGUCUCGCCGCAGCCUCUCCUGCGCAGUAGUUUGCACACUCGCAUCGGGAGCGCGGCGCGUCCACAGCCGUUAAACACCCAACUUCUGAAAUGUUGACCUCGGAUCAGGUAGGAAUACCCGCUGAACUUAAGCAUAUCAUAGG
RNAcentral lists this ribosomal RNA (559 nucleotides) under Trichoderma harzianum. Its description in RNAcentral is "eukaryotic LSU rRNA". The stretch from base 177 to 334 matches the Rfam family "5.8S ribosomal RNA". The record is from RNAcentral. Lineage: Eukaryota; Fungi; Ascomycota; Sordariomycetes; Hypocreales; Hypocreaceae.